ACUCAAAGGAAUUGACGGGGACCCGCACAAGCAGCGGAGCAUGUGGUUUAAUUCGAAGCAACGCGAAGAACCUUACCAGGGCUUGACAUCCCCCUGACAGCUACUUAAACGUAGCCUCCUACGGGCAGGGGAGACAGGUGGUGCAUGGUUGUCGUCAGCUCGUGUCGUGAGAUGUUGGGUUAAGUCCCGCAACGAGCGCAACCCUUGUCAUUAGUUGCCAUCAUUAAGUUGGGCACUCUAGUGAGACUGCCGGGGAUAACUCGGAGGAAGGUGGGGAUGACGUCAAAUCAUCAUGCCCCUUAUGUCCUGGGCUACACACGUGCUACAAUGGCCGGUACAACGAGAAGCGAAGGGGCGACCCGGAGCAAACCUCAAAAACCGGCCCCAGUUCGGAUUGCAGGCUGAAACCCGCCUGCAUGAAGCCGGAGUUGCUAGUAAUCGCGGAUCAGAAUGCCGCGGUGAAUGCGUUCCCGGGUCUUGUACACACCGCCCGU
This 494-nucleotide ribosomal RNA is filed under the name uncultured bacterium. RNAcentral's name for it is "bacterial SSU rRNA". It matches the Rfam family "Bacterial small subunit ribosomal RNA", at positions 899 to 1397 of the family's 1533-position model. The record is from RNAcentral.